AGCUGAUUUCAUUUGAGCAGUACAAGAACCAAUCUUACUUUUGCUUUCCUUAGGAUUACGGUGAGCUUGUCAGUCAGUGCCUAGAGGCAGUCAACACAAUGCAGUUGUGCCAGCUUUUUUUCUAGACCUGGAGCACUGUGAUUUUGGGCUUUAGUCAUAAUCUACAUUCUCCCUUCAAAACAUCCCUGUGAUUUUUGGAGCAUCUUGGCAGAAGGUGAACUUGUACGUGACAGCAUCUGGAUGUCCAUGCAUUUUUUUGAGCCCUGUUGUGUAGACGACAGUGGAGUGAAUAGCCACUCUGCACCACAGCUUGCACAUGGGACUGCGGACCCCAGGGAUCCCAUCCUCAGCCUCAUGCUGGAUUUCCUCUGGAAAUUGUAAAUAUCAGAGUUGGACACUGAUCCUGCAGGGUAAAAAG
RNAcentral lists this long non-coding RNA (418 nucleotides) under Coturnix japonica (Japanese quail). RNAcentral's name for it is "lncRNA (ENSCJPG00005000273.1)". Lineage: Eukaryota; Metazoa; Chordata; Aves; Galliformes; Phasianidae. The record is from RNAcentral.